GACGAACGCUGGCGGCGUGCUUAACACAUGCAAGUCGAACGAGAGCGUAGAGAAAGCUUGCUUUUUCUACAAUCUAGUGGCGAACGGGUGAGUAACGCGUAAACAACCUGCCCUACGGAUGGGGACAACAGCUGGAAACGGCUGCUAAUACCGAAUACGUUCCGAAAGUCGCAUGACUAUCGGAAGAAAGGAUGGCCUCUAUUUAUAAGCUAUCGCCGGAGGAGGGGUUUGCGUCUGAUUAGCUAGUUGGAGGGGUAACGGCCCACCAAGGCGACGAUCAGUAGCCGGUCUGAGAGGAUGAACGGCCACAUUGGAACUGAGACACGGUCCAGACUCCUACGGGAGGCAGCAGUGGGGAAUCUUCCGCAAUGGGCGAAAGCCUGACGGAGCAACGCCGCGUGAGUGAAGACGGCCUUCGGGUUGUAAAGCUCUGUUAUACGGGACGAAUAAUCUUGUGGUUAAUACCCAUGAGAAGUGACGGUACCGUAAGAGAAAGCCACGGCUAACUACGUG
RNAcentral lists this ribosomal RNA (513 nucleotides) under uncultured bacterium. Its description in RNAcentral is "partial 16S ribosomal RNA". It matches the Rfam family "Bacterial small subunit ribosomal RNA", at positions 28 to 507 of the family's 1533-position model. The record is from RNAcentral.